Non-coding RNA from Boletus reticuloceps, 79 nucleotides. The record is from the annotation of a GenBank genome assembly. NCBI's taxonomy places the organism in Eukaryota, Fungi, Basidiomycota, Agaricomycetes, Boletales, Boletaceae.
GGUCUUGUAGUGUAGCGGUUAUCACUUGGGAUUCUGAAGACCUGUUCCCAAAACCCAGGUUCGAGUCCUGGCAAGACCU